This 857-nucleotide long non-coding RNA is filed under the name Hordeum vulgare. RNAcentral's name for it is "long non-coding RNA (HVUL_LNC008760)". Lineage: Eukaryota; Viridiplantae; Streptophyta; Magnoliopsida; Poales; Poaceae. The record is from RNAcentral.
GGACAUGUCGGAGGAGCGCGACGAGUGCGACGGCAUGGCCACCGUCGCCGGCGACCGGUUCCUUGCCGUCAGCGGGUACCGCACGGGGCGUCAGGGAGGGUUCGAGCGGGACGCCGAGUGGUUCGACCCGGCGACCCGCGAGUGGCGNCUGGUCUCAAGGCCGGCACGGCGCGCGCGGUCGCCGUCGGCGGCGGCGAGCGCGUGGUAGUGACCGGCGCCAUCGAGUCCGAGGGAGGCGGCGGCGGCGGCGGGCACGCGCUGUGGGUGUUCGACGUCAAGUCCAAGAACUGGACCGUGGUGCGCCCUCCGCCGCAGUUCGCCGGCUUCGUCUUCUCCCUGGCAUCCGUCCGCGUUUGAUGAGAUCCUUCCCCGGCGCCGCUCCCGACCAAGAAGACUACUACUACUACUAGUGAGUAUGUAUGCACGUUCUUGAGUUGCCAUUGAUGGAUCUGAGAUCCGCGGUCUCAUCGCCUGAGAUCUGCGCAUCCCGGAUGCAAUCAACUACUACUACUCCGGAGGAAUCAUCGCCAGGAAAAGAACAAAAAAAAAAAGCAUGAGGCAUCAUCGCCAAGAAGAAAACAACAAAAAAUAACUAGAGGAUUGUAGCUUGUCAGAUCUGUCACCAUGGGUGUAAACUCUCCUCUCCUCCCCAACUCUUUGCUGUUGAGACAGCCUGCCAUUUCUGUUGUGAGACAGCGUGGUGUUUUGGUGUUCGAUGAUGGAGGAUUGUUCCGUGAUCUUAGCAAUGAGUCGUUGUACUUGUACAUAUUAUUGUCAGUUGGAUUGGAAGAUCAUACGUGGUUCCUCCGUCUUCUGUCGAGAUCCAGUUCUGCUGCAGCUCACAAAGGCUGCUGGUA